RNAcentral lists this ribosomal RNA (465 nucleotides) under uncultured bacterium. RNAcentral describes it as "partial 16S ribosomal RNA". It matches the Rfam family "Bacterial small subunit ribosomal RNA", at positions 28 to 507 of the family's 1533-position model. The record is from RNAcentral.
GACGAACGCUGGCGGCGUGCUUAACACAUGCAAGUCGAAUGGAAAGGCCCCUUUGGGGGUACUCGAGUGGCGCACGGGUGAGUAACACGUGAGUAACCUGCCCUUGACUUCGGGAUAACUUCAGGAAACUGGGGCUAAUACCGGAUAGGAAUCCUUGCUGCAUGGUGGGGGUUGGAAAGCUUCGGCGGUUUUGGAUGGACUCGCGGCUUAUCAGCUUGUUGGUGGGGUAGUGGCUUACCAAGGCUUUGACGGGUAGCCGGCCUGAGAGGGCGACCGGCCACAUUGGGACUGAGAUACGGCCCAGACUCCUACGGGAGGCAGCAGUGGGGAAUAUUGCACAAUGGGCGGAAGCCUGAUGCAGCAACGCCGCGUGCGGGAGGACGGCCUUCGGGUUGUAAACCGCUUUCAGCAGGGGCGAAGCUUGUGGUGACGGUACCUGCAGAAGAAGCACCGGCUAACUACGUG